RNAcentral lists this ribosomal RNA (427 nucleotides) under uncultured bacterium. Its description in RNAcentral is "bacterial SSU rRNA". It matches the Rfam family "Bacterial small subunit ribosomal RNA", at positions 355 to 799 of the family's 1533-position model. The record is from RNAcentral.
UGGGGAAUCUUGCACAAUGGGGGAAACCCUGAUGCAGCGACGCCGCGUGAACGAUGAAGCCCUUCGGGGUGUAAAGUUCUUUCGGCAGGAACGAUAAUGACGGUACCUGAAGAAGAAGCUGCGGCUAACUACGUGCCAGCAGCCGCGGUAAUACGUAGGCAGCAAACGUUGUUCGGAGUUACUGGGCGUAAAGAGUACGUAGGCGGUUUGCCAAGUUUGGUGUGAAAUCUCCUGGCUUAACUGGGAGGGUGCGCCGAAUACUGGCAGACUUGAGUAUUGGAGAGGAAAGCGGAAUUCCUGGUGUAGCGGUGAAAUGCGUAGAUAUCAGGAGGAACACCGGUGGUGUAGACGGCUUUCUGGACAAUCACUGACGCUGAGGUACGAAAGCGUGGGUAGCAAACAGGAUUAGAUACCCCCGUAGUCCCUG